UAAUCAACAAGGCCAGGGACAGGGCUGGGGGCCGCAGAGGUUGGCUCGUCCGUCUGAUGUCAAGGAGCCCUGGAGACACGGCGCCCGGCCUGGAAGGGACGAGGACACGGGCAGGCGGGGCGUCCGGGAGGGUGUGAGCGCCACGCCCCCCGCCCGCGGGCGCACGGUCAGGUGAAGACCUCAGCUGCUCUGGCCCGUCUGCUGACUGCUGGACCGGGCUUCUCGAGGAGCCUCGGAGAUGGACCCCAAGGGCCCCCACCUGCACUGUAGUGAACUUCCCGGGGAGUCAGAUGGAGAUGAAGGAAGAGGGGGAGAGAAUGAGUGAGUCAGGGAGUGACAGCUCGUCAAAGGCUGUCCCCAGACCACAGACCGCGGAAGGUAGGAAUGACCAGGUGGCACCGGGACCGGCUGGGUGUGGAGAAAACUGAAACGGCCGUGCUGGUGGAGGCAAAGCUCUGUGACGUGGACAGAGUCCCCGCUUCCUCGGGACAAGGUCCUGCCCCUGCACGCUGCCCCGGGCAGUUUCUGAAGUGACCCACACCGGCUCCCUCCACUCCAUGCCAGAGACGCAAAGCUUCCGAGAGACACGCCGCCCGUGGCCCCAGCGCCCGCCACCCAGCACAGUCGUCCAUGCUGCCCGGAGACCCGAGGGGACCCUGCUGGGGGGCAAAGUCAGAGACAAGGAGUAAAGAUCCCUGUCGAUACCUCCUGAGCCUCCCGUGGGCCAGACCCGAGUGUUGUGCCGGCAUUCGCUCCCCCCUCCCCCGUCUCCACCUCCGCCUGUGGGGGGAGAAGGCUGUCACUACCCCCACUCUGCGGACGCAGAAACUGAGGCACAGAGGGGUGCAGGUCUCCCCAAGCCCACGUGAGCCUGGUCCUUGACCACCGAUGUCCUCCACAAAGAUGCUAACUCCCACUCGGGGCCCAGUCCUUGCAGUGGCACCGCCGCUGUGUCCUGCCUCUGCCUGUGGCCCCAUCCAGCCAAGGCCCUUGAGCAUCAUUCAGAUACUCUGCUCCCUGGGCCUCAAGAAGGCCCAUCCCCAGCCUCCCUCCUGAGCCCUCAGUGCCCCAGCCCCGGUGUCCACCUGAAAUAGCCCGUUCUCGGCCACAGGUGUCCCUGGGUGCCCCCGGGGGGCGCCGUCCAGCUGUGGGGGAGGGGCGGCGCCACGGGGACCCUGAACGAGCAGCCUCC
Molecule: non-coding RNA, 1192 nt
Organism: Vicugna pacos (alpaca)
Lineage: Eukaryota; Metazoa; Chordata; Mammalia; Artiodactyla; Camelidae
Source: RefSeq, a predicted model, not a curated record